CUUAUACUCCCUCCGUUCCAUAGUUCUUGUCUCAAAUUUGCCAAAAAAAAUGGAUGUAUCUAUUCCUAAAAAGUGUCUAGAUACAUGUAAGAUUUCGACAAGAAUUAUGGAACGGAGAAAGUAUAUG
Brachypodium distachyon (stiff brome) is the source of this 127-nucleotide non-coding RNA. The record is from Rfam. Lineage: Eukaryota; Viridiplantae; Streptophyta; Magnoliopsida; Poales; Poaceae.